UGGACAAUUGAUCUGUCAAAUAAAUUAACACGACAAUAAUGUUUAAGCAGAACAAAAUUAUUCAAUGAUUUCAAUACACAUUUAUUUCAAAUCUAUUAGAAUUGAACACAAGUCCGAUUAACCGGUUAGCGUUUUUGGAAUUAGAUGUUCGGUCCUUCCCAUGGUUAACCGUUGACAUCACUACUAUUUCGUCUUGAAUACUGAUAGUGUUCUACCACAAUUAUUUGCAAUGUAAACUUUUGAUAGUUUCUCAUUGUAAUAAAAUGCAAGAGGAUUGUACACAUUAUCUGGUGAUAAAAUGUCGACUAAGAUUCCAGAAGAUGUAAGAAUAUGGAUGUUAUCCCGUCCAAGGACGAGUAAAUUGCCAGCAUCAUCAAUUUGAAUACCUCGUGCAUGCCGAAGAUCGGGAGAAGUAUAAGAGAAAACAGGUUCUCCAUCUGACGUAAUGCAUUGGACUUCAUUGAAAGUUGAAUAACAGAUGUUUCCAUUUGAGCAAACGGAAAUGUAACUAAUGUAAUGAUCUACGUUUUUCAAAUGUAUUGUUCUAACGAAAUUUCCACGUAGGUCUAGGACAUAUAUUUUCCCUAUAGUUCCGAUAUAUAUGUUUUCUUUUGUAGCAGCAACACCAUAACAUUCACCUUGUUUCACUUCUAUCUUCUUUAAUAUUUUCUGUCUAUCUAUAUCUAUCAACUGUAUGUACGGUGUAGAUUUACAAGACACAACAGCUGUGGUUGUUUCUGGUAUAGCUGUUAUAUCCCAUGGUUUAUAUUUAGCAUUGAUACAUGAUUGAUAGGUAUCGUUUUCAUCACAAAAAUAUACCUUUUCUUUACACAGACUAUCACAGAAAAUCAAUAUUUUAUCAUCUGAUAUUGUGAUGCCAGUUACUCCAUUCAACUUUUUUCCUUUCAUGUCGAUGUCACGAAGAUAGGUGAACGAGCUAAUGUUGUGCUUCAGAACAAUUGGAACCGGUGACUGCCUCUGCUUGUAAGGGACAAUUGAAACUGAACUAGGAGUUUCCUUCGAUUCUAUCGAACCGAUAUCCGUCACAUAUUCUUUCGAGUGUUUUUCUAAAAACCUUAGGCUGGUGUCUACCAACGAUUCUCUCAGCUGGUUCACUUUGUUUUCAAUCUCAUCUAAGAUUGGUUUAGAUGAAUGAAUUAAAAUAAAUGUUUGUUUCUCAGAACCAUGAUCUCUUAUAAAUUCUAAAGCUUCCUUUUGGGCUUCUGUUGAUGUCACUAAUUCACCUAUAUCUUUCUCUUGAACUUUAAUACCAGUCAUAGCUUUGUCCUUCAAUUCGGUUAGUUGUUUAAGAAGCGACUUUUCUAAAGAUUCCAAGCCUUUGAUGACAUUUUCUUUUGCUUUUGCUAUUUCUUUCCUUAUUUUACUUUCUUCUAGUUCUAUUCGACUACUAUUUUCCUUCCGAUUUUUUUUCAAUUUUUCUAAUGCAUCUGAAAUAAAGCUCAACUGUUCGUUAUAGUCCAGGAAUGACUGUGACUGCUUAGAAUUCUUUGACGCAAUAUCAAUUGAUGUGACGUUCUUACAUGCUCGAUGAUCUUUUGGCAAACAUUCCUCACAACAAAUAACAUCAUGAUCAACACAAAAAUAAUCAAAAGGCAAAUGUUGAUGUUUUGAACAAUAAUACGAUAAAUCAAUUUUGUUUGGUAUUUUACCUAUUUCAACCAAAUGGUGACUUCGAGACAUUUUUUGAACUUUGUGAGCUUCUGUACAUUCGGAACACAGUGCUUCUUCACAUUCGGUACACCAUUGUAAGCCUUGAGUCUUACGCCGUGCAGUGCACGGUUCGCAGUAUUUGGCUGUGUUAUUUCUAAAAUAAAAAUAAUUUUAAAAAUGUGCUAUUGUGAAUUCUAACUUCUUAAAAGCUUUAUCUUAAAAAAAAAUAGUGUGUCAUCUUCAUAUAAAAUGACCAUAAUAUGGUUACUUUUUUCAACUGAAUUCCAAAGAAGUGGAUACAAAAUUUUACACAUAAAGAUUUUCUUUGUUCGUAUGGAACUUUCCUGCUCUAUUGAAUGUGUUGAUAGGGAUUUGAGACGAUAUGACCAAAUUGCCUUUAAUGUGCUUCGAUGAUGCUAUUGAACAUCGUGAUAAUCCCACACCGUGGUUGAGUUGAGACGAAUUCAGCUGUCUUUUGAAAGAGUGUUCAAUUUAUUAAAGUUUCAUGAUACAAGCGGUAUUUUAUAGGACACGAACUUGUUCAAGUACAGUUUGUCUGUGAAAUAGAGAUGAUAGAAUUGUUUGGAAAACAAAUAUGGUUUCAUUAUAUGACAAAUAUUGAUUAUGUGGUUCAAUUGAUAGAGGUCUGCUUCAUUUGUUUUCCGUUGAUGUUUGAAUAUAAAUGAGUUCAUUGUUUUUCUAUUUUUAUAGCUUUCACAUUUAAAUGGCUGUUUUAUUUGACAGUUUAUCAAUUACUAUACGAUACGUGUUUUUCAUUGUUGAAGGCUGUAGGGUGACAUUAUGUUUGUUCUUUGCCAACUUGUAAAUUGUUGUUUCAAAAUGAAUCAUGCAAAAUCGGCUUAUUUUAAUAUAAAAAGCCGACAAUUCACAAAACUAGCGAUAAGGAAAAGAAAAUAAGCCGUUCACACCAAUAACGGGGAUUGAUUAAUGGGAGUACAAAUGAAUAAGGAGAUGUGGUAAAUGUGUCAACUAAACAACUCUAUGCAAGUCACAGUGUUUUUUGGGUUUUUUUUAGUUUUAAAAUUUAAGUACAGCCUUCAUCACGGUGCCUUGGCACACACCGAAAAAUGGCAGCAGGUCAGACGUUUAUUAGACUGUUUUUAACGUCUUCAUACUUAAUCCACGGAUUGGUAUUGUUUGAUAGUUUAGUCCGGUAGAACGUAAUUUAUUGAUAGUGGGUAUUGGCUUUGUACAAUCCUUUAGUAGAAGGAACUGUUUUCGCGGUGCUCUGUGCUAUUGUUUUUGUUCUACUUGGUUUUGUGCCUUAAACAUACAUUUUAACAUGAGCCAAUGCCAACUGAUUUUUAUAGUUUGUUCUUAUGUUGUGCUGUUACACCACUGUCUCAUCUUAGGAGAGGAUAGAGCGCUAGCAGACAUGUUUCGUCCCGUCAAAAUAUGUAUAUGCCUGUCCCAAGUCGAGAACCGGUAGUUCAGUGGUUUUCGUAGUUUUAUGUCAUUCAUUUGUGUUUUUCAUAAAUUGUUUAGUUAUAAAUCAGGCCGUGAGUUUUUAUUGUUUAAAUUGUGUAAUACAUUUCAUUGCGAUGCCUGUUAUAGACGACUAUAAGAUAUUGGGUUUCCUAAAAGUUGACGACAAUACGGCUUCCUAUAAUUGCUUACAUUUACUUCAAUUGAACUUUCAUGGAUAUUUUUAAAAUGAAGCGCUUUCGCCAUUCAUACAAAAUGUACUUCGGUAAACGCUUUUAAAAUCAAUAAAUUUACAAGAAUAAGCAUUCGAUUCUUAAAUGUGUGCAUCAUUGUCAUUUUUAAGACUUGAAUUGACGUUCAAUUUGAAGAAUAUUGAAUUAACCAGCAGAAAUAAUACCUUCAACAAAAUGGCUAUCAGGAAGCUUUUCACCUGUUAAGUCAAGGUGCGAUCGAUAUAUGUACUAGCAUAGUGUAGUAUUUAAAGGUACACACUUAUUAGAUUUUAAAAAUAUCUCUAACAAAGAAUGCUGAACUUAUUAAAGUAAACAUGACUUCAUAUCGAAGACUGCAAGAGUUACCUCUCUUUCUUUAAACCCGUACACUUUUACAUGGAAUCGCUUCGUUCCGUUCAAAAAUCAGAUCUAUCAAAUCUCGCCCGCUCGUCAUAUGAGCAUAACGAAAACAUAGAUUUAUGUUUUAAUUAGAAUUGGAAUUACUCCCCUUAUUGCAUACAUCUUUUUGGUCCCUGGUUUGUUUUUUUGAGUUUUUUGUGUUCUGAUUAAAAUGGCUUAAAAUAUACCACUGUUAGUUAUAUCUCAUGCGUUUUUCCACCAAGUUUAAUGAGUGAAUUGACAUUUUUUGUUAUUAUAAACACCUGUCAUUCUGUUUGUAUUUAAUAUGACAGAGCUAUCAGGAACAUCAUUGGGGUAUGAUAUAUCUUGUAAAUUCUUAGAGUAUCAAUCAUUGCUGUUCAUCAUUGUCACCGAAUUAUUCAAGAAUCAAAAAUGUAUAUGUAAUACUUAGGACCUAUCGCACAUACAUAUACUAGGUAUUCAUAAGUUUCCAUAAAAGGAAAGGUGUCAAUUAAUAUGAUUUUGAAUCAAAACGCACCAUUCCUUUUGCUCUUUUUUACAGAUCAUACAGGUAUGUAAUUUUCAUUUUUGUUUUUUUUUGUUUUUUUUUGUUUUUUUGUCGAUUUGUUUUAAGUAACCAAGAGAAUUGGUCAACGAUACAAGAAAUAAAACUCAUACAACUUUUACCAAUAUAGAUUUGAGUUAUUCCGCUUUGUUUAACAAAUAUCAUCAAAUGUUUAGAAGUAUUGUCAAAAUGUGAAUUAAUAAAGAUGACUUUUCAAUGGCAGAUCCAGGGAAGGGGGUUAUCCCUUUUCCCCUUUAUCCUGGGUUGGGGGUCCCCCAACCGUUUGGGAAUGACUGGAACCGCCUCUGCUUUUGUGUUUUAGUGAAUCUGGUUCUGCCUGGAAUAAAAUGUAUAUGAAUUUUAUUAGAUGCAGAUUAGUAGGUUUUUAACUAUUAGUAUAUGAACAUUUAUAUAUCCGAACUCGCGCGCUUGUUAUGUGAGCAUAAUAAAAUUAUAUUAGAUUGGGAAUGACUCCCCUUCAUUGUUCAAUGUGUUUAUAGUCCCUGAUUUGGUUUCAUGUGUUCUUAUCAAAUGGCUUAAAACUUUACCUUUGUAAGUUAGAUUUCACGUGUUAAUUCUAUCAAUUUUGAUGAAUACAAUAUGACAAACAUUGUUUUAAUAUGUCUUGAAUUGCAACAUAAAAUAGGCUCUUAUUCAUUCUCGGCUCCAAUGACUUUUAAAAGGGAUGUAAUGUAAAGUUGUAGUGAGCACUUGUAAGGUAGAUCAUAUGACUAAAACCUACUAUGUCUAUUGUGCACGAGCUAUACCCACUGUUGGACGAUACAAAGGAUGUAGCAACACAUUGCGAUACAUUUAUUAUAUUCUCCUAUGUUAUACCAGAACGAUAAGUGUGGCCUGUUAUAGCUGAUUCAAAUUUACGUGGUCCUAAGGAUUUUUUAAACCAAGUUUUUGCAGAUAUUAUCUCCUGGGGUUCCGUGUGAUUCUAUCAAACCAUAUGUUUGUAACCUUCUUGUUUUAAAAUAUUGUGCUUGUAGUUCUCUUAAUCAAUAAUAAUUUAAUGUAUUUUUCAUAGAUUUAAGACUUGUGACCUAUAUACCAAAUAUAACUUGAACUGUUAUAUCUUACCCUACUUCUGAUGUAAUACCUUCUUGCUCAAACUAACAUAACAAAACUUUGUGUGACAGAGUAACUAUGAAGGAGAGAUAACUCUAGGAAUAUACACCUUCAUUCUAUUCAUCAGUUCUAUAACAUGAUGACCCAAACAAUACCUUCAAGAUCUACUUAGAGACAUGUUUCUAUCCAUUGAAAUAGAAACUCCCUGCAAAAAAAGGUCAUUAUUGAGUUAACUGCUGGCAAAAAAAUAUAUAUACAUAUACAAUAUUAAAUUUUAAUGAUAGAAAAACUUAUUGACUUCACAUUCCUAUCGCCAAAUAAAUUUAAUAUUCAGUUAAUUAGUUUUUAUGCCUAUUUAAAGUUCAACAUCUCAUCCCAUCUCCAUCAUUAUUAUACUCAAGAUAAAUAGAGCCUGAGGAAUAUUGCUUUCACGUUCAAUCGUUUUUCAUGUUCAGUUGGAUUUAUGUAUUUUUUUGGUACUUUUUCGAGGUAAUGGAUGCUUUGGGUUUGUCCAUAACCUUAUCUAAAAGACCAUUUAUAUUUCCGAGCUGUAUUAAAGGUUGAAGGAGGAAUUGGUUGCCGUGAUGAACGUUCGAUCCCGUAUAUAUAGAUAGAUGGCUGUAUAUCAAUAUAUUUCUAGUUGUAAACUAGAACAUAUACGCAAAUUUUUCCUCAAUUAUAAGUCAUUCCUCAUAGAUGUUGUCGAGUUUCCAUUAUAAUAUAUAUCAGUGUCGAAAAGUCUUCUUUAACACCCCCAUCCCUUUCUUCCUAUUUUCCUAACAGAAAAUAAAUUAUUCCAUAAGUGGUAAGUUGGAACCUUUCCUUAUAAGAUUUUUAAAUAACUGAUACAAAAGUUUAAAAUCUUCAUUUAUGAAGCCUUCGAACCUUUUUCAUCGAGUAAAGUUUAAAAGCUGUUUUAAACAUUACAAAUAAUUAUUCUGAAAAAUACAACUUACCUGUGAUCAGUGUCAGGUAUUUAAUUUUAUACAUAUAAUUGAUAAAGACCUUAUAUAUUAUCAUAAUUAAAGUAAACAAGUACGGAGUGCUCGUAGGAAAACAAAGUUAUCGGUAAAUGUGACAAUAUGUCCGCUUUAAACGUUCUUUCAAAAAAUAUUGAAAUCAUUAUAUAUUGUGCCAUUAACGCCAAAUAUGUAUCCUUUUAACAACACUCUAAUCAACGUUUAACAUGACAGUAACCAAGUAGCAUCUCUUACCCAAAUUGCACCUAUUCAACAAAAAUAGAUGCGUAAAUCUAACAUUUUUUUCUUUGAGACUAAACAAUUUGGAUUUUAAUGAAUUGAUAUAAUACAACAUAGGAAAAUGUAUGUAAAUAUACAAAACACGUUCACAGUAUGUAUCAACAGAAGAAACAUUAAAUGGAAAAGUAAAAUUUAUGGAAACGUCGCUAUGCGAUGUUCAUAAAAAGUCAUCUUUAAAAAAUGAACAAAUAAAAUAUUUUCCAACCAUCCAUUUCUCGAAAAAUCAAUAGUAAGCAUACCUGUUAGUGACCUUUUGCUGUUGUUUUUUUUUCUAUGGUCGGGUUGUUGUCUCUUUGGCACAUUCCCCAUUUCCAUUCUCAAUUUUAUAGACUAAUGUCAAUUGUUCUAAAUAUUUAAAGAAAUAAGACAAACAUCUGUUAUUCGAUUGUUAAGAAUGUGAAUUUAAGCAUGGAUGCAAUUUGGGUACAAUUCUUCACAGACUCAUUGAUCGUGUAUAGGUCGGCACAAACCCAUUUUUCUGAUUAAAUGCGGAUUCAAAAUAGGAUAAGGCAGUUUGAAUUGUUUUAAAUUGUCAUUUCGGGGCCUUUUAUAGCUGACUAUGCGGUAUGGGAUUUGCUCGUUGUUAAUGGCCGUACGAUGACCUAUAGUUUUUAAUUUCUGUGUCAUUUUAGUCUCUUUUGAAGAGAUGUCUCAUUGGCGAUCAUACGACACCUUCUUUUUUAUAUUUAGUAUAACUAAAAAGUUAAUAAGGAUAUGUUUACAAAAUAGGCACCAAAUAGAAACUUUUGUUUGAUGUUUAUGGCUUGUUAUAUGACAUGUUGUCUGUCUCUAUACAUCAUAUCCUCUUUUUGUUUCGGUAGUCCAUUCUCCUCACAAUUAUGCUAGGUCUAUUAACCUCCUUGUUGACUCUACCUAUUGUAUAGAUUGUUAAUUUGCUACUGACGAGAAUGUGCUAUCUUCGUUUUUAAUACAUAUAUUUUGUACUAAACCUAAAGUUGGGGUUUCUAAAGAAGAGCAUUUGACGGUUUUGAUCGUUUUCGAUUGUCUUUAUUUCAGUUAUGUCGCUCUACCGCGAUGUUGGGUGGCAAAAUCGUUAAUGUCUGUUCUCAUUCGUCACUAUACUCUAGUUGAAAAAAAGUCCAAAAAAAGAUUUUUUUUUAAUUUCCAUGUUCACAACAAAUAUCAAAACAAUAGUUAUAGACAUUACAAGUAAAACAAUGACAAAAACCAGGUUCAACCCACCAUUUUGUCUUAAAAUGACCAUUACCAAGUCCAGAAUAUGUUAGUUUUGAUCUACGGACCGUUUCUGUGUAUGUCGGGGCUUUUUUUUUUUUUUUUUUUUUUUUUAGUUUUAUUACUUCUGUUGUUUUCGUCAUAUAGAUGAUGUGUUUCAUGCUGUUUUUGUUUGUUACCUAAGAAGUAAAUUAUUGAGUAAAUUUUUAGGUGAAAAUGCAGCCAUUUUAGCCAAAGGGUCCACAUGAACCUUAAUAGGGUAAUUUUAUGAACUUCCUGGUUAAAAUCGAAAAAUAAAAUUGAGACCAUUGUCUCAGACAAUCGUCUACCCUAUGCAUUGCAGAAUCACUUACAAUUUCACAGAUUGAGUUGGAAAUUUAAUGAAUACCUUUUAGAUAUACUAAAGCUUCGUUUAAUAAUAUUCCUAUUUGUAAAAUUUCCCUUUUAAAAGAUGAAAGAUGUAUUAAGGGAUUUCAUGUGUUGGUAUUGGACUGUUAUUCAGUAAAUAGGUUCUACUCUGCUGUCUCUUUCGACUUUGCAUUUAAGGACUUAUAAGAUAGGAUGUGGCAUACAAAACUUGAAACGAAAUAAAUUGUUUCAUCAAACAAACUUUUAACCAGCAACCUAAUGUUAAUUUCAUUUUAUGCAAUGUUUUGCAGUUUUGACACGUACACAAAAAACUUCAUAUUCAUUUAAAAUGUUACUUUUUUGCCUUGAAAACCGAAAUCGUUUCUCCGCGAUUAUUUGCAAUGUAAACUUUAGAUAGUUUCUUGUUGUAACAGAAUGAAAGAGGUUCCGAUAAAUUAUCUGUCGAUAAAAUGUCUACUAAGAUUCCAGCAGAUGUGAAAAUGUCAAUGGUUCGUGGAUCACGUCCAAGGACGUAUAUGUUAUCUUCAACAUCUAUUUGAAUAUCUCGGGAUUGAACUAGGUCAGGAGAGGUAUAAGAAAAAACAGGAUAUCCCUCUGCCGUAAUGCAGUAGACUUCGUUGAUGGUCGAAUAACAAAUGUUUCCAUUUGAGCAAACGGCAAUGUAGUCAAUGAAACGAUCUGCUUCUUUUACACUUAUUGUUCUCUUAAAAUUUCCACGUAAGUCUAGGACAUGUAUAUUACCUUUACAUCCGACAUAGAUGUUAUCUUUUGUUGCAUCAACACCACAACUUUCACUUUGGUUCACUUUCACCUGCUUCGAAAUGUGUUGCAUAUCGAUAUCGAUGAAAUGUAAGUACGCUCUAUAUCUACAAGACAUAACAGCAAUGGAUGUUCCAGGUAUAGCUGCUAUAUCCCACGGUGGAUGUGGAGAGCUGAUAGAUGAUAGGAAGGUAUUGUUUUCAUCAAAAAAAUAAAUCUUGCUCGUAUUUAUAUCACAGAAAAUCAAUUUGUUAUUGUCCGAUAUCGUCAUGCCAGAUACUGUCUUCAACCUUUCUCCUUUCGUGUCGAUGUCGUUUAGAUAGGUUACGGAGGUAAUCUUCCCAUUCGAAACAACUGGCACCUGUGACUGCAGCUGCUUGUAAGGGACCAUUGAAACUGAACAAGGCGUUUCCUUCAAUUUUAUUGACCCAAUACUCGUUAAAUAGUCGUUUGAUACCCUUUCGACAAACAUAAGACUGGUAUCUACAAACGAUUUUGUCAGCUGUUUAACUUUGUUUUCAAUGUCAUCUAAGAUUGGUUUGGAAGAAUGAAUUGUAAUAAAUGCUUGUUUCUCAGAACCAUGAUCUCUAAUUAAUUCUAAAGCUUCCUUUCGGGCUUUUGUUGAUGUCACCAAUUCACCUAUAUCUUUCUCUUGUCGUUGUAUACCAGUCAUAUCUUUGUCCUUCAAUUCGGUUAGUUGUUUUAGAAGCGACUUUUCUAAAGAUUCCAAGUGUUUGAUGACAUUUUCUUUUGCUUUCGCUAUUUUUUUCCUUAUUUUACUUUCUUCUAGUUCUAUUCGACUACUAUUUUCUUUUCGAUUUUUUUUCAAAUUUUCUAAUGCAUCCGAAAUAAAGCUCAACUGUUCGUUAUAGUCCAGAAAUGACUGUGACUGCUUAGAAUUCUUUGACGCAAUAUCAAUUGAUGUGACGUUCUUGCAUGCUCGAUGAUCGUUUGGUAAACAUUCCUUACAACAAAUAAGAUCAUGAUCAACACAAAAAUAAUCAAAAGGUAACUGCUGAUGUUUUGAACAAUUAUACGAUAAAUUAAUUUUGUUCGGUAUUUUACCUAUUUCAACCAAAUGGUGACUUCGACACAUUUUUUGAACUUUGUGAGCUUCUGUACAUUCGGAACACAGCGUUUCUUCACAUUCGGUACACCAUUGGAAAGCUUUUGGGGUCUUACCACGUGCAGUGCAAGGUUCGCAAUAUUUAGCUGCCAUAGUUCUACAAGAAAA
Molecule: long non-coding RNA, 10143 nt
Filed under: Mytilus galloprovincialis (Mediterranean mussel)
Lineage: Eukaryota; Metazoa; Mollusca; Bivalvia; Mytilida; Mytilidae
Source: RNAcentral